CCUUAUAAUGACGCACAUAACCGUCCUGGAAACAAAUAUAAUAACAGACAAUAGCAAGAACAGUCAACAUUGUAGAUAAGAAGAAUAAUUUGUCCAAUCUCAAUAUGGCGCGUAAAGUGUGUUCCUUCACAGUCUUGCCUGCAUGCUAGCUAGAUAUUGCCUACAGUAUAGUUGAGGUUUGUAUGUUGUCCUUAGAUUUUUGGGGGUUGGAGUUUUGUGCACAACUUCAGCUUUCGGGAAUGAGCAGCAUCGAAUUUUGAAAAUCACCCAACGUCUCGGCAAACAGUGCAGCUACCAGAAACGCCCACAAAUUAGAUACUCACCCUCAAAAUGAUAACUGCAACGUUUGCCGAAACCGGUUGUAAAUUGGAUGUUGAAUGUAUUGUACAGAAAUGAGAAUUUGAAUUAUACGAUAUAGGCCUACCUAUUAUUCACCCGUUCAAGAUAAUAGUCCUAUGUAUGAAGCCAGAAUGUUUACUACUAACGUUAAGCAAGGCUACCGAUUCACCCCAUCCUGAAACAGUUCAAGUAACAAACUUUUCGCUGCCCCGCGCCUAGCACCGAUAGCGUGUGAGACAUCGGAAAUGUAGCAUGAAAGAGUACAUAAAAUAUAUAAUUCUGAUUAAAAAAGCUUCAAGGUCUCAAUGAGUAAAGUGAUUGGCUACAAGCCGGAUGACAAGAGUUCGAUUCCCGUCAGACUUAUUUCUUAACCAUCACUGUGUCGAAGCCGGCCAUGGUGCCUACCAAGCUACCUAUCCAAUGCACAGGCCUAAGUCUCAUGCCCUCGUGCUUAAUUAAACACAGGAAAUACUUUACAUUACAUUAAAACUUCUAAUGAGAUAUUUUCAUACGAAGAUUUGUGAAGCAUUUAGAACAGGACAGAGAAAUACUAUUACAUUGUGAUGACGGACUAAACUACCCUAGGGCUGAAUUUUGUGUCAGUAGUGUUUGAAAGACUGAUUAUGUAGCUGAUUAUAAUGUGUGAUACUUCAACGUUUUUCAGAGAUUCCAACAAUCGUAAUUGCAGAGAUUCCUGACAGAGUCACUUGCCCCUAUUGUUCUGGUGACUCGUCGAAUUGUCCGCUGGCGACAAGUCCAGCCUACUUUUACUCACAUCCGCAGACAGCAUACGAACCCCCGCCGAGCUACUCGUCUCUCGUGAUUCACGAGUGUCCUACAAUACAAAAGACAUUCCAGGUUCAAGACAAUGCACCAAGCGCUGACCAUCCUAAGUGACAUCCACUUGAGUACAAAGACAGCUCCUUCUUUUAUGUCUCUACGAAUCUAAAAUUGCUAACAAGUGUCAUCCACAAAUGACCCAAACACGAAACACGACAGAAUAUUUAAACCGUCCGUUCUAAUGAACUUAUAUUGUGACACCUUUUUGUUAAAGAAGAAUAGAUCAAUAAGAGGAAAACUUUGAAAAAGCUGGACAUGCACAGUUUAUAUUUACCACCGAAAACCUUAGCUCUUAUCUCGAUACUCCAGAUGUGUAUGAUUGUACAACACUGAAUGUCUAUAAUCCACACAUUAAUGGUCUGAAUCAGGAUUAGGACCCAUGGUUUCAGUCAUGUUUCAUGUCAAUAUCUCACAUCAAGGGAAGAAGAAUUCAAAAAAGGGCAUCGACUAUACCGUACAUUCUAGAAUCAUCAGAAAUUUACCCUCAAUAAUGACGGCAAAAUCUAGAGAAGUGCUUUAAAUACACAUUUUAUUGAUAAAUCUUUAAUGUGACUCGAAGGUUAAUUACUGUGUUCACAUAAACUCGUCACACUGGUCUAUCAUGUUUUACUUCAGUUCUUCGCAUGUCGAGGUAAUAAUUUAAAUUGCGUCACAACCGUUUCCUACAACCUUCAAAAUCAUCCUACCACGCCUCAUUCGACGAUACAAAACACGAGCAGUUCAUAUAGCUUUCAAAAUAACAGAAUAAUCUACCAACGCGACGGGCGGAAGAAAAUCCUCGGGAAAAAUGCUGUCGGCUACACACAAAAUCUGAACUACGCACGUCUCCUGGUAAUAAUUACAAGGUAGUUCAAUCCAGAAGAUUAAGAUGUCCUGAACGCGCAGAUUGGAUAGGUAACACAAGGAAUUAACUCAUAAUUAUGUAUAUUCUUCCCUGGAAGAAGUUCGUUGGGAGCCCAUGAAGUAGCUGGAAAAAUAAUAUUAAUCGGGAAGUAGGCGAAAAGAAUGUGAAAUGCAUGAGACAGACAGAGUGAGAGUAAAAACGAUGCCAUGUUUCACCGUGCCAUCGACCUGAUGAUUGAGGCAGCAUACCCCACUGAAACGUCGAUAAACGUCUACCAGACUACGUGACGCAACAAUCCAGAACACAGCCGUCUUCGCUUCAGCUGUUGUGAGAACCUGAAAACUCACCAGGGUGACAGCGGGCUGUUAUCAACAAUAACGAAACUUCGGGCUUGUUUGCUGUACUCCUACUUAUUUGUUUCGUGUACAGUUUAAUUUAACACAGUCUUUCUCUCUCACACACACAAAAUUUGGGAUAAAGAAGAUCUUACUACAUUAAAUAAAUGAUUUUGUUACACUUAUGGAUCCGUUAGAACGUUUCAUUGUCAAUAUUAAAUUUACUGAAAUAAUUCCCUGGUCCUGGGUCACUCUUAACCCUUUAAAGCACACUGAUACGUAUAACUAUCACCUAAUUCAACAUUCAAUAACUCUGUAUUUUAUGGUUUUAUAUGAUUCUCAGAAUAAAUAACUAUUAUUUCCUUAAACAAAAUUAAUAAACUGAUCUUCAUGGUGGAUAAACGGGCAUUGCCUGGAAACUUUCACAGCCGGUAAAAUAUCUAUCAGCCCCCUCCCGAAACAAAUGUAGUGUCUCGCUACCCCCCAAUUCUCUCACUCUUUCUCUCCGGGCUUCAAGGACUAAACGGUCGUCAAUCAAUCACAUGAAGAAAACAUUACAUGUCUUCAUUAAAUCAGAAGGUGCAUCAUCUUUGUUACAAAAGCUGGCUAUGGGAAUCUAUCCCGAAGUAUAAAAAAAGUGUUCACAUCUGUACAAUCAAUUUCUCUAAGAUCAAAUUUUAAUAAGAGUCUUCCAUCCACACUCAGUUCCUAAGUAGUCUCUUCCUAUGACGUUGUCCAAACAAAUCCUGCAUAAAUUAGCUAAACUGAAAUGAUUAUCAAUCAGCAACGUUUCAAAAAAUGUCGACAUUGAUACAACCAUCUUUAAUAUUACAAUCUGCUAUUUUAUCUUCGCGAAGAUAAUUUGAAAGGUAACUGAUAACAUUUAUAGUUUGAUAAAGGUGCUGUAGUCGCGAUCGAGGAGAAAAGUAUUGGCAGUGUGACAGUAGCUAGUGCUGCAGAAAUGUGUGGUCGAUAAUUAAUAUGUUUUGUAAUUCUUAUGAAGGAGUUUAUCCGGAGGAGAUAAGAAGCAAUGAACAAUGGCAUCAGCAGAUUUUUCGACAACAGAUCCUACGACAACAGCUAUCCCUACUAAAGGGCAGAACAGCAACGAUAUGGUGCAGGUGUGGAUAUGGCUCUUAGUGGCAGUCGCAAUUAUUGGCUUCCUUUUCAAAUUCUGCACUUGGUGCGCAGAACAAAACAGGGAGUCUGGUUCCACACCCACCAGGAGCCUGUCCACAGUAGCCAUAAUCGACGCAGCCGCUCCACAGUCGAUGACGUGUCCUCGUUGUGACCCAUCGGAGUACUUCGCUGGUUUAGAUCAGCCUCCUCCUUACGGCAGCCUGCUGCAAGGCUACCAUGAAGAUCCACCCCCAUCAUACUCGUCUUUGAUGCUUCACGCUUUACCGACUGAGGAACACAGACAACCAACUGCAAGCACAGAAAACCACACGGGUGACAGUCCUCACAGUUUACACAUGUAGCCGCUGAGAAAGACAGGCGACCGCUUCCAAGAUACGAGUGUUCACGUUCACAUGGCUGAAUAAAUACAUGAAAACCAAAACGGCAGGAAGAAACAGAUGAAGUCAGUUGCAACAACAGUUAGUUAUCAGUCGAAAAGGUUUAACAGAGAUAAGACAGAUCAAAGCACACCGUGUUUGUGUAUGGCAUGUGAACGUGUUUAUAGUGAUAAAGAACAAGGAUUAGACAAGUAAAACACUGAUUUCUAACGUAAAAUAUAUGGUAAUUAAUUACACCAAUAAAUAUUUAAUUCAACAGAAAUGACGAGCGCCGUAAAAUAAGCCUGUCCAUUAACUCGCCAUAACUUUGGGCAGAGCAAUGGACCUGUCUUAAGACAGAACACUUAAUAAUAAUAAUAAUAACUACAGAAUGUACUCUAGUUUCAAUCAAGUUGCAAUUUAUUGAUUUGGUUUAUCAGUUAUCUGAGGACGAUGUAUAAACUACAGAAGUUACUUAAUUGCCACAGAAGAGCGAGAAGAAAUGGAUCAGAAGAAUAAAUCCAAUUCAAAGUCCUGAUACUGCGUUCUGCGUGGGCUGCCAUACUACAGCCGGCAGCUGAAGUAGACAAUAGAUUAUCACAUCUGAAUGACAGUAAAUUAUGUACGCGUAUGGUGACAGAAAAGAUAUAACAUUUCAUUUGUUUUGGCGAUUGUGACGCAAAUUUGGCUUUACGAUCAAUAUUAUAGGCACAUAUUAUGAGACCUGUGUUAGUUUGAAUAAAUAAAGCCCAUAAAACUAUAGUCAUGAUCCAGAUGGUAAAUUUGAAUUGUAAAACAGAUAAAAUUGAAAGACAACAAACUAUUUUUAUCCACCCUUGUAUUAUGAGAUUGACAGGAAAUGUGUUUUGCACGCCCUGUUUGACAAGGUUAGCUUCGUUUUAGACACGCAAGAGGAUCUAAUCCGCAGACCGAUAGAAUCGAAUCCACACAGUUAUAUAGUGAAAUAGACGUCUUUCUUUGUGGAGGAGGGUUUAUCUACGACGGUCGGGUGACGUAAUACGAAUGUCGCAAGUGGCUUCCUACAAAGCAGGCGCGUCAGUAUUUGGCCUAGAAACAUCUGCAGUUGGUUCUCUGUUACUCUGUGAAAAGGAAGGAUCGUGAAUACAUGAACACAAGAAAUAGCUUCUUCGAAAUUCGAAAGCCGCUGGACAAUUUUAAGGAAAAAUGUUCUCCUCAUCCGUGAUCCUAUUCAUCACGAUGGGAGGGACCAUCCUGAUGGUGUUUCUUGUGCUCACCUGCUACAGGAUUUUCAUGAUCUUGUUUCGGAAAGAGCAAGACAGAGACAAAUUCAUAAGUGAAAAUCGCAAAGUUAUCUACUCAGCCCCAAGAUGGCCGGUGGAAAAAUCGGAACAGAUUCAAUGGAAAGUUCCACCAGCGUACAAAGAUUCACAACCACCUCCAUAUUACUUCGUGGUCGGGGGUCCAGAAAUACAGCAACCUGAGACUUGGAACCUGCCAACGGAUGGUACGUUACUGAUCCAACGCGCCUAAGUGAAGCCAGAAUGUAGCAACUUGUUUCAAAAUAGUAGUUUCGGAUGCAAAUCAUCAUUAUAGUCACAGUUUAAAAAAGUGGUCUUCAGUACUGAAGACUCUAUCAUAUAAGUUUGGUCAUGAUGUUGACGAGCGUAGAUCUAAACAUUUAGUCACAUGUGAAUCAUCAUGACAGGAAAGCACCGAAAGUCGUUGUCGAGUGGUUAGCACUCCUGCUCCAUAUUCAGGAGUCCCGGAUUCAAAUAUAGGCCCGGAGACCGGUUAUCAUGAC
Molecule: non-coding RNA, 5637 nt
Organism: Zootermopsis nevadensis
Lineage: Eukaryota; Metazoa; Arthropoda; Insecta; Blattodea; Termopsidae
Source: RefSeq, a predicted model, not a curated record